UACGGAGGGUGCAAGCGUUAAUCGGAAUUACUGGGCGUAAAGCGUACGUAGGCGGCUUGUUAAGCAAGAUGUGAAAUCCCCGGGCUCAACCUGGGAAUGGCAUUUUGAACUGGCAGGCUCGAGUUCUGAAGAGGGUGGUAGAAUUUCCAGUGUAGCGGUGAAAUGCGUAGAUAUAGGGAGGAACACCGGUUGCGAAGCCGGCCAGCUGGACGGUUCCUGACGCUGAGGCACGAAAGCGUGGGGAGCAAACAGG
This 253-nucleotide ribosomal RNA is filed under the name uncultured microorganism. Its description in RNAcentral is "partial 16S ribosomal RNA". It matches the Rfam family "Bacterial small subunit ribosomal RNA", at positions 524 to 776 of the family's 1533-position model. The record is from RNAcentral.